This 448-nucleotide ribosomal RNA is filed under the name uncultured bacterium. RNAcentral's name for it is "SSU rRNA". It matches the Rfam family "Bacterial small subunit ribosomal RNA", at positions 26 to 518 of the family's 1533-position model. The record is from RNAcentral.
AGAACGAACGCUGGCGGCAGGCCUCAAACAUGCAAGUCUAGGGGGUGUAGCAAUACAUCACCGGCGGACGGGUGCGUAACGCGUGGGAAUAUACCUAUUGGUUCGGAACAACUGAGGGAAACUUCAGCUAAUACCGAAUGUGUCCUAACGGAGAAAGAUUUAUCGCCAAUAGAUUAGCCCGCGUUCGAUUAGCUAGUUGGUGGGGUAACGGCCCACCAAGGCGACGAUCGAUAGCUGUUCUGAGAGGAAGAUCAGCCACACUGGGACUGAGACACGGCCCAGACUCCUACGGGAGGCAGCAGUUGGGAAUCUUGGACAAUGGGGGAAACCCUGAUCCAGCCAUGCCGCGUGAGUGAUGAAGGCCUUCGGGUUGUAAAACUCUUUCGCGCACGACGAUAAUGACGGUAGUGCGAGAAGAAGCUCCGGCUAACUUCGCGCCAGCAGCCGC